CGAACACACCAUCUUCUGCCUCCUGCCUCAUCUGCUCACUGCCACCGGCAAAGGAUAAAGAAAAUCUAACCCCCUUGCCUCUUUCACUCUCUCUUCUUUGAUUCCUCCUCCUAGCCUGAUAAUUUGAUACGCCCAAGGAGAACAUCCCUGCUGGGCCCCCGGCCAUUUAUCUCGAAUAAUCUUGAAUAAUCUAACCCCCUUGCCUCUUACAUUCUCUCUUCUCUGAUUCAUUCUCCUCCAAGCCUGAUAAUUUGAUACGCCAAGGAGAACAUCCCUGCUGGGCCCCCGACCAUUUAUCUUGAAUAAUCUUGAUGCUCUAAACUUCCACCAUUAAAACCUUCACUUUUACACCCGAUGAUGCCAAUCCCUUUUCUCAACAUCCUUCGCGUUUUAAAUAGAUUGUUCCCAUCGAAACUUCAAUUCAAAGGUUUUGGAAGACAUGCGAGGUUUAUUGCAAGCAGCAGAUGAAAGGAAGCAAGCUGCAGUUGCUGAGCUAUCUGCUAAACAUCAAAAGGAUAAGGGUCAACUCCCCUCGCAAUUGCUGUUUGUAUAGAGGAUCACUGGGCACAUCAGUUUCAAAUCUCUGACCAAGGUGAGUUUUUGAAUAUUUUUUGUUUUAUCAUUUUUCAUCAAUAUAAUUAUAUUGCACAUGCUUAAAUUUGUUAAAAUUCUCCUAGAGAUGUUCCAAAUUCGAAAAUAUGGAGGUAGUAUGGUUCUUUAGAUUUAA
Non-coding RNA from Carica papaya (papaya), 727 nucleotides. NCBI's taxonomy places the organism in Eukaryota, Viridiplantae, Streptophyta, Magnoliopsida, Brassicales, Caricaceae. The record is from RefSeq and is a predicted model, not a curated record.